RNAcentral lists this long non-coding RNA (506 nucleotides) under Cyanistes caeruleus (blue tit). RNAcentral's name for it is "lncRNA (ENSCCEG00000009071.1)". Lineage: Eukaryota; Metazoa; Chordata; Aves; Passeriformes; Paridae. The record is from RNAcentral.
CUGUAAACAACAAUUUUGGCAGCAAAGUACAGUACCAGUGGUGGGGAGGUAGAGAUUCCAUGUCUUAGAGGAGCUGCACAUCAUUUUGUGAAAUGCCUGAGGUUUUAUCCAGUUCUCCUCUUAGAGAUCCAGUGGAGCUAAAUGAGUGAUCCAUUCCGGCUCACGUGGCUGAUGUUGCAUGGACUGAUGGAGGCACAGCAUGAAGCAGAACAGAAACUCAAGAAUAAGAGAAGAAUUACUAAGAACUCAGUAUUUUCUUCUAGCUGCUGGCUCUCCUACCACACCAAUGUCCUGUUGUAUUAAGAGGCUACACAUCUGUGCCUGUCUAACACACCUGCUAGACCUCUUGAGAGAUAUGAUUAUAUUAAUUACAAUAUAUUGAUUGAUUUCUACUUUACACGGACUGCCUGUAUUUAAUUUAAAUAUACAAUGAAGCAUAUUGAGGACACAAUUUGGAUUGUUACUGUGAUAAAUAAUUGCUAAUUGUGUCAUGAUAGAUCACCUAU